RNAcentral lists this long non-coding RNA (838 nucleotides) under Zea mays. RNAcentral's name for it is "long non-coding RNA NONZMAT004145". The record is from RNAcentral. Lineage: Eukaryota; Viridiplantae; Streptophyta; Magnoliopsida; Poales; Poaceae.
GAGAACUCUGAAAUAGAAAAGAAGAAUAAAAGACAAACAUACUCUCGGGCCCAAAUCUCCCCUCAGCCCAUUCCAACCUCCGCGCCUACUAGCCCAGUUUAAUUUCCACCGGAGGCCCACGCGCGCGUGUCACGAUGCGGCUCUGGAAGAUCAGGCCCGCGUGGCAUACUCUCUGCCUGGGUGCUCGGGGUUCUAUGGGCGCUGUCUGGUGGGGUCUGCUCAUCAGAUCUAUCCGCAUCCUCCUUCCCUCAUAGAACUCUCAACAGUGCCAUAAUGAAUCGACUGGGUUUGGUGCAUGCUGCCGGAUCUGUGGGGGGUUGUUGCGAAUCGGUCUCCAGCCUUGCUCGGGUAUAAAACCAUGACACCGCCUCCCAUCUCCUCCAGGCCGCGCCAGGGACCGCCAUUGACUGCAAGAGAGGGAGAGCAGUGUGGGAGGAAGAGGCCCGUCGCACCCUUAACUUGCCGACGCUGCCCUUCUGCACCAGUGGGGUGGUUCUGGGGCAUCACAAGCACGUGGGGGAUCUUCGCCGGGUUCGUGCGCAGCUCAGGGUGGCCGGUGAUAAGGCAAUUUUUUGCCAGAGUUAUACACCCGUCGUGAGCGAGCCUUGUUCCAUGGUCGAGCCCCCGUCGCCGUUCAAUCCUCUGGUAAGUCACCGGGAUGCUAUCCCUCUAUGCAUCCGCUCUGUGUUACAUCUAUCGGCACAAAGAACCAGCCACUAGAUUGCGGGAUGGAGGUGAUUGCAGCAAUGGAGCCGCCGCGGUGGGAGGCUCACCUCCGUCGCCGGCGUCCCGUUGGGUGUGGUCACCACAGGCCAUUGGAUGAAUUGUGGGCGCCUUA